GCUCUUAUGAAGUUAGCGGCGGUACGGGUGAGUAACACGUGGGUAACCUGCCCAUAAGACUGGGAUAACUCCGGGAAACCGGGGCUAAUACCGGAUAACAUUUUGAACCGCAUGGUUCGAAAUUGAAAGGCGGCUUCGGCUGUCACUUAUGGAUGGACCCGCGUCGCAUUAGCUAGUUGGUGAGGUAACGGCUCACCAAGGCAACGAUGCGUAGCCGACCUGAGAGGGUGAUCGGCCACACUGGGACUGAGACACGGCCCAGACUCCUACGGGAGGCAGCAGUAGGGAAUCUUCCGCAAUGGACGAAAGUCUGACGGAGCAACGCCGCGUGAGUGAUGAAGGCUUUCGGGUCGUAAAACUCUGUUGUUAGGGAAGAACAAGUGCUAGUUGAAUAAGCUGGCACCUUGACGGUACCUAACCAGAAAGCCACGGCUAACUACGUGCCAGCAGCCGCGGUAAUACGUAGGUGGCAAGCGUUAUCCGGAAUUAUUGGGCGUAAAGCGCGCGCAGGUGGUUUCUUAAGUCUGAUGUGAAAGCCCACGGCUCAACCGUGGAGGGUCAUUGGAAACUGGGAGACUUGAGUGCAGAAGAGGAAAGUGGAAUUCCAUGUGUAGCGGUGAAAUGCGUAGAGAUAUGGAGGAACACCAGUGGCGAAGGCGACUUUCUGGUCUGUAACUGACA
Molecule: ribosomal RNA, 681 nt
Filed under: Bacillus cereus
Lineage: Bacteria; Bacillati; Bacillota; Bacilli; Caryophanales; Bacillaceae
Description: bacterial SSU rRNA
Rfam family: Bacterial small subunit ribosomal RNA
Source: RNAcentral